UACGGAGGGUGCAAGCGUUAUCCGGAUUUACUGGGUUUAAAGGGUGUGUAGGCGGACUUUUAAGUCAGCGGUGAAAUCUCCGGGCUCAACCCGGAAACUGCCAUUGAUACUAUUAGUCUUGAAUCUUGUUGAGGUAGGCGGAACGGGUCAUGUAGCGGUGAAAUGCAUAGAUAUGACCCGGAACACCGAUUGCGAAGGCAGCCUACUAAGCAAAGUAAUUGACGCUGAGGCA
RNAcentral lists this ribosomal RNA (232 nucleotides) under uncultured bacterium. Its description in RNAcentral is "partial 16S ribosomal RNA". It matches the Rfam family "Bacterial small subunit ribosomal RNA", at positions 524 to 753 of the family's 1533-position model. The record is from RNAcentral.